CCUACGGGUGGCAGCAGUGGGGAAUAUUGCACAAUGGGGGGAACCCUGAUGCAGCGACGCCGCGUGGGUGAAGGAGUACUUCGGUACGUAAAGCCCUAUCAGCAGGAAAGAAAAUGACGGUACCUGUCUAAGAAGCCCUGGCUAACUACGUGCCAGCAGCCGCGGUAAUACGCAGGGGGCAGGCGUUAUCCGGAUUUACUGGGUGUAACGGGAGCGUAGUAGGCAGUGCAAGUUCGGAGUGAAAGCCCGGGGCUCAACCCGGGGACUGCUCUGGAAACUGUAAAGCUGGAGUGCGGGAGGGGCAGGCGGAAUUCCUGGUGUAGCGGUGAAAUGCGGAGAUAUCAGGAGGAACACCGGCGGCGAAGGCAGCCUGCUGGACCGUAACUGACGUUGAGGCUCGAAAGCGUGGGGAGCAAACAGGAUUAGUUACCCCUGUAGUC
This 440-nucleotide ribosomal RNA is filed under the name uncultured bacterium. Its description in RNAcentral is "partial 16S ribosomal RNA". It matches the Rfam family "Bacterial small subunit ribosomal RNA", at positions 338 to 795 of the family's 1533-position model. The record is from RNAcentral.